Molecule: ribosomal RNA, 1082 nt
Filed under: Meretrix lamarckii (Korean hard clam)
Lineage: Eukaryota; Metazoa; Mollusca; Bivalvia; Venerida; Veneridae
Description: 12S ribosomal RNA
Source: RNAcentral
GCUGAGGUUUAUAGUUUUAUAUAAGGUUUAGGAGAUGUGUAUUUUAGAUGAGAUGUGUUGGCUUUCAGCAUUAUAUUAGCUAUAAUAAAACAUUGAUCUUGCAUGAAAUUUAAAGAGUUCUUGAGAGGGGAGUACGGUUAGAAAGGGUUUUAAUAGUUCUUUUGUAAUUGGUUGUAUCUAUUAGUUGAGGUCUCAAUACGUUAGGGGCGUUACAUUGAUGGAUGAUUUAUUUCUCAACAUCAGCAGUUAGGAUUUGGAUAUUAUAGAAAUAUAGACUAGGCAAUUGUUUUUAGGAGGGAUGAAUGAUGUGCCAGCAUUCGCGGUUAAACAUCGUCUUCAAGUUAAUAUAUAAUCGUGGAACAGUAAGGUUGAAAUAGUUAAAAAGUUUUGUUGGCAGAUUUAACGGUGAAAUGUGUAAAUAAUCUAGGUUAAAUGUAGUGGUUCAUGGUAAAUUUUUUUUAUUUUGGACUACUGUUUGGCUGUGCCAUGUACUGUAAGACUUUAAAAAUUUAAGCUGAGGAAGCUGUGUAUUAAAGACAAGGAUUAGAGACCCUUUUAUUUAGGCUGAAGCUAGGUUUUCCAUGGGUAUGAUGAACGUUAUAAUAAGUUUAGUAGCUUAUGAGAGUUGGCGGCAUUUUGCAACCUUUUAGGGGAACUUGGCGUUUAAACCGAUGAUCCUCGAAAAUCUUACCUCUAAUUUUCCUUUCAUACCGCCGUUGUCAGCGAGUUUUGAAAAAUUGAUUCGCGUAUACAAAGUCUAAAAUUAGUUUAGUGAAAUAUUUUUUUUGUGAGAAUUCAGGUAGACGUGUAGGUGUUUUAGAGGGAUUAGCUGAGUUACAAUUAUUGAAUAAUAGCGGAUGAAUAAGUUUGUCUACUAGUGUAUAGUUUACUAAGUUGGGUUGGGUGUUUUCUUGUGCUAGAGCUUCUGAAAAGUAUCUUUGAAGAUGGACUUUAUAGUAAAAUUUUUUAUAAGCAAGAAGUUUGAAUUGAGUAAAAAAAAUGUGUACAAAUCGCCCGGUGUCCUUCUCGUAAGAAGAGGUAAGCCGUAACAUAGUGAUGCUAGUAGAAACUGGCGUCGAUGA